GAUGAACGCUGGCGGCGUGCCUAAUACAUGCAAGUCGAGCGAACAGACGAGGAGCUUGCUCCUUUGACGUUAGCGGCGGACGGGUGAGUAACACGUGGAUAACCUACCUAUAAGACUGGGAUAACUUCGGGAAACCGGAGCUAAUACCGGAUAACAUGUUGAACCGCAUGGUUCAACAGUGAAAGACGGUCUUGCUGUCACUUAUAGAUGGAUCCGCGCCGCAUUAGCUAGUUGGCAAGGUAACGGCUUACCAAGGCAACGAUGCGUAGCCGACCUGAGAGGGUGAUCGGCCACACUGGAACUGAGACACGGUCCAGACUCCUACGGGAGGCAGCAGUAGGGAAUCUUCCGCAAUGGGCGAAAGCCUGACGGAGCAACGCCGCGUGAGUGAAGAAGGGCUUCGGAUCGUAAAACUCUGUUAUUAGGGAAGAACAAAUGUGUAAGUAACUAUGCACGUCUUGACGGUACCUAAGCAGAAAGCCACGGCUAACUACGU
RNAcentral lists this ribosomal RNA (496 nucleotides) under uncultured bacterium. RNAcentral's name for it is "partial 16S ribosomal RNA". It matches the Rfam family "Bacterial small subunit ribosomal RNA", at positions 28 to 506 of the family's 1533-position model. The record is from RNAcentral.